UCUAAUACCGGAUACAACCACUAGGGGCAUCUCUUGGUGGUGGAAAGCUCCGGCGGUGCAGGAUGAGCCCGCGGCCUAUCAGCUUGUUGGUGAGGUAAUGGCUCACCAAGGCGACGACGGG
Molecule: ribosomal RNA, 121 nt
Filed under: Streptomyces afghaniensis
Lineage: Bacteria; Bacillati; Actinomycetota; Actinomycetes; Kitasatosporales; Streptomycetaceae
Description: partial 16S rRNA
Rfam family: Bacterial small subunit ribosomal RNA
Source: RNAcentral